AGUGAACGCUGGCGGUAGGCCUAACACAUGCAAGUCGAACGGCAGCACAGUAAGAGCUUGCUCUUACGGGUGGCGAGUGGCGGACGGGUGAGGAAUACAUCGGAAUCUACUUUUUCGUGGGGGAUAACGUAGGGAAACUUGCGCUAAUACCGCAUACGACCUACGGGUGAAAGCAGGGGAUCUUCGGACCUUGCGCGAUUGAAUGAGCCGAUGUCGGAUUAGCUAGUUGGCGGGGUAAAGGCCCACCAAGGCGACGAUCCGUAGCUGGUCUGAGAGGAUGAUCAGACAGACUGGAACUGAGAAACGGUCCAGACUCCUACGGGAGGCAGCAGUGGGGAAUAUUGGACAAUGGGCGCAAGCCUGAUCCAGCCAUACCGAGUGGGUGAAGAAGGCCUUCGGGUUGUAAAGCCAUUUUGUUGGGAAAGAAAAGCAGCAGGUUAAUACCCCGCUGUUCUGACGGUACCCAAAGAAUAAGCACCGGCUAACUUCGUG
This 492-nucleotide ribosomal RNA is filed under the name uncultured bacterium. RNAcentral describes it as "partial 16S ribosomal RNA". It matches the Rfam family "Bacterial small subunit ribosomal RNA", at positions 29 to 507 of the family's 1533-position model. The record is from RNAcentral.